Long non-coding RNA from Perca flavescens (yellow perch), 174 nucleotides. RefSeq lists it as uncharacterized. The record is from RefSeq and is a predicted model, not a curated record. The transcript is spliced from 2 exons. NCBI's taxonomy places the organism in Eukaryota, Metazoa, Chordata, Actinopteri, Perciformes, Percidae.
AAUUAACCGGCUCUUCGGUCAGUUCGUCAACACUACCCUUUAGGCGCUGCAUCGUAACGUCGUAUGAGCCUGUUGUUAUUCACUCGGUGGUGGAGGUGGAGAUUAGAGAAGCGCUACGCACGGGAGUUCCGGUCCAGAGAGGGAUAUUGGAUCACAUUGAUUCUUCAGAUCCCA